Molecule: ribosomal RNA, 433 nt
Filed under: uncultured bacterium
Lineage: Bacteria
Description: partial 16S ribosomal RNA
Rfam family: Bacterial small subunit ribosomal RNA
Source: RNAcentral
AACGAACGCUGGCGGCAUGCCUAACACAUGCAAGUCGAACGAGACCUUCGGGUCUAGUGGCGCACGUGUGCGUAACGCGUGGGAACCUGCACUUAGGUUCGGAAUAACUCCCCGAAAGGGGUGCUAAUACCGGAUAAUGUCUUCGGACCAAAGAUUUAUCGCCUUUGGAUGGGCCCGCGUUGGAUUAGCUGGUUGGUAGGGUAACAGCCUACCAAGGCGAGGAUCCAUAGCUGGUCUGAGAGGAUGAUAAGCCACGCUGGGACUGAGACACGGCCCAGACUCCUACGCGAGGGAGCAGUGGGGAAUAUUGUACAAGGAGCGAAAAUCUGAUCCAGCAAUGCCGGGUGAGUGAGGAAGGCCUUAGUGUUGUAAAGCUCUUUUUCCCGAGAUGAUAAUGACAGUACCGGGAGAAUAAGCUCCGGCUAACUCCGUG